UACGUAGGUCGCAAGCGUUGUCCGGAUUUACUGGGCGUAAAGAGCGCGCAGGCGGCUGGUCAAGUCCGAUGUGAAAUCUCCCGGCUCAACUGGGAAACUGCAUCGGAAACUGAUCGGCUUGAAGAUGGGAGAGGGUAGUGGAAUUCCCGGUGUAGUGGUGAAAUGCGUAGAUAUCGGGAGGAACACCAGUGGCGAAGGCGGGUCUCUGGGCCGAUACUGACGCUGAGGAGCGAAAGCGUGGGGAGCGAACAGG
RNAcentral lists this ribosomal RNA (253 nucleotides) under uncultured bacterium. RNAcentral's name for it is "partial 16S ribosomal RNA". It matches the Rfam family "Bacterial small subunit ribosomal RNA", at positions 524 to 776 of the family's 1533-position model. The record is from RNAcentral.